RNAcentral lists this ribosomal RNA (486 nucleotides) under uncultured bacterium. RNAcentral's name for it is "partial 16S ribosomal RNA". It matches the Rfam family "Bacterial small subunit ribosomal RNA", at positions 30 to 507 of the family's 1533-position model. The record is from RNAcentral.
AUUGAACGCUGGCGGCAUGCCUUACACAUGCAAGUCGAACGGCAGCACGGGUGCUUGCACCUGGUGGCGAGUGGCGAACGGGUGAGUAAUACAUCGGAACAUGUCCUGUAGUGGGGGAUAGCCCGGCGAAAGCCGGAUUAAUACCGCAUACGAUCCACGGAUGAAAGCGGGGGACCUUCGGGCCUCGCGCUAUAGGGUUGGCCGAUGGCUGAUUAGCUAGUUGGUGGGGUAAAGGCCUACCAAGGCGACGAUCAGUAGCUGGUCUGAGAGGACGACCAGCCACACUGGGACUGAGACACGGCCCAGACUCCUACGGGAGGCAGCAGUGGGGAAUUUUGGACAAUGGGCGAAAGCCUGAUCCAGCAAUGCCGCGUGUGUGAAGAAGGCCUUCGGGUUGUAAAGCACUUUUGUCCAGAAAGAAAUCCUUGACUCUAAUACAGUCGGGGGAUGACGGUACCGGAAGAAUAAGCACCGGCUAACUACGUG